UACGUAGGGCGCAAGCGUUGUCCGGAAUUAUUGGGCGUAAAGAGCUCGUAGGCGGUUUGUCGCGUCUGCUGUGAAAACCUAAGGCUCAACCUUGGGCUUGCAGUGGGUACGGGCAGACUAGAGUGCGGUAGGGGUGACUGGAAUUCCUGGUGUAGCGGUGGAAUGCGCAGAUAUCAGGAGGAACACCGAUGGCGAAGGCAGGUCACUGGGCCGCAACUGACGCUGGAG
RNAcentral lists this ribosomal RNA (228 nucleotides) under uncultured bacterium. RNAcentral describes it as "partial 16S ribosomal RNA". It matches the Rfam family "Bacterial small subunit ribosomal RNA", at positions 524 to 751 of the family's 1533-position model. The record is from RNAcentral.